This 493-nucleotide ribosomal RNA is filed under the name uncultured bacterium. RNAcentral's name for it is "partial 16S ribosomal RNA". It matches the Rfam family "Bacterial small subunit ribosomal RNA", at positions 30 to 523 of the family's 1533-position model. The record is from RNAcentral.
AUUGAACGCUGGCGGCAUGCUUUACACAUGCAAGUCGAACGGUAACAGGUUAAGCUGACGAGUGGCGAACGGGUGAGUAAUAUAUCGGAACGUGCCCAGUCGUGGGGGAUAACGUAGCGAAAGCUACGCUAAUACCGCAUACGAUCUACGGAUGAAAGCGGGGGAUCGCAAGACCUCGCGCGAUUGGAGCGGCCGAUAUCAGAUUAGGUUGUUGGUGAGGUAAAAGCUCACCAAGCCUGCGAUCUGUAGCUGGUCUGAGAGGACGACCAGCCACACUGGAACUGAGACACGGUCCAGACUCCUACGGGAGGCAGCAGUGGGGAAUUUUGGACAAUGGACGCAAGUCUGAUCCAGCAAUGCCGCGUGCAGGACGAAGGCCUUCGGGUUGUAAACUGCUUUUGUACGGAACGAAACGGUGAGCUCUAAUACAGUUUGCUAAUGACGGUACCGUAAGAAUAAGCACCGGCUAACUACGUGCCAGCAGCCGCUGUAA